GGAUGUGAGGGCGAUCUGGCUGCGACAUCUGUCACCCCAUUGAUCGCCAGGGUUGAUUCGGCUGAUCUGGCUGGCUAGGCAGGUGUCCCCUUCCUCCCUCACCGCUCCAUGUGCGUCCCUCCCGAAGCUGCGCGCUGGGUCGAAGAGGACGACCAUCCCCGAUAGAGGAGGGGACCGUUCUUCGGUCAAGGGUAUACGAGUAGCUGCGCUCCCCUGCUAGAACCUCCAAACAAGCUCUCAAGGGAUGGAAUCAGCCAAAUCAAGGCUGUGGAGGAAUCUGUGGGACAGCUGAUCUCAUUUCUACAAAAAUAUAUUAAUUUUUUUCAAAGAAAAAAAGAAAUA
RNAcentral lists this small nuclear RNA (342 nucleotides) under Neogale vison (American mink). RNAcentral's name for it is "Neovison vison (American mink) 7SK RNA (ENSNVIG00000019567.1)". It matches the Rfam family "7SK RNA". From Rfam's summary of the family: 7SK was discovered as an abundant small nuclear RNA in the mid-70s but a possible function has only recently been suggested. The record is from Rfam by way of RNAcentral. Lineage: Eukaryota; Metazoa; Chordata; Mammalia; Carnivora; Mustelidae.